RNAcentral lists this ribosomal RNA (500 nucleotides) under uncultured bacterium. RNAcentral's name for it is "partial 16S ribosomal RNA". It matches the Rfam family "Bacterial small subunit ribosomal RNA", at positions 28 to 507 of the family's 1533-position model. The record is from RNAcentral.
GACGAACGCUGGCGGCGUGCCUAAUACAUGCCAGUCGAGCGGACUGAUUAAGAGCUUGCUCUUAUGACGUUAGCGGCGGACGGGUGAGUAACACGUGGGCAACCUGCCCUGUAGAUCGGGAUAACACCGAGAAAUCGGUGCUAAUACCGGGUAAUAUCUGAGAUCACAUGAUCUUAGGUUAAAAGAUGGCUCCGGCUAUCACUACAGGAUGGGCCCGCGGCGCAUUAGCUAGUUGGUAAGGUAAUGGCUUACCAAGGCGACGAUGCGUAGCCGACCUGAGAGGGUGAUCGGCCACACUGGGACUGAGACACGGCCCAGACUCCUACGGGAGGCAGCAGUAGGGAAUCUUCCGCAAUGGACGAAAGUCUGACGGAGCAACGCCGCGUGAGUGAUGAAGGGGUUCGGCUCGUAAAGCUCUGUUGUUAGGGAAGAAACAGUACCGAACGAACUAGGUCGGUACCUUGACGGUACCUAAACAGAAAGCCACGGCUAACUACGUG